GUAAGUACUACAGAGAAUAAGACUUGGGGG
Molecule: non-coding RNA, 30 nt
Filed under: Cricetulus griseus (Chinese hamster)
Lineage: Eukaryota; Metazoa; Chordata; Mammalia; Rodentia; Cricetidae
Source: RNAcentral